UACGUAGGGUGCAAGCGUUGUCCGGAAUUAUUGGGCGUAAGGAGCUCGUAGGCGGUUCGUCGCGUCGGCUGUGAAAACCCGGAGCUCAACUCCGGGCCUGCAGUCGAUACGGGCGGACUCGAGUUCGGCAGGGGAGACUGGAAUUCCUGGUGUAGCGGUGAAAUGCGCAGAUAUCAGGAGGAACACCGGUGGCGAAAGCGGCUCACUGGACCACAACUGACGCUGAGGCGCGAAAGCUAGGGGAGCAAACAGG
This 253-nucleotide ribosomal RNA is filed under the name uncultured bacterium. RNAcentral's name for it is "partial 16S ribosomal RNA". It matches the Rfam family "Bacterial small subunit ribosomal RNA", at positions 524 to 776 of the family's 1533-position model. The record is from RNAcentral.